UACGAAGUGGGCUAGCGUUGCUCGGAAUCACUGGGCGUAAAGGGUGCGUAGGCGGGUUUUUAAGUCAGGGGUGAAAUCCUGGAGCUCAACUCCAGAACUGCCUUUGAUACUGAAGAUCUUGAGUCCGGGAGAGGUGAGUGGAACUGCGAGUGUAGAGGUGAAAUUCGUAGAUAUUCGCAAGAACACCAGUGGCGAAGGCGGCUCACUGGCCCGGUACUGACGCUGAGGCACGAAAGCGUGGGGAGCAAACAGG
Molecule: ribosomal RNA, 253 nt
Filed under: uncultured bacterium
Lineage: Bacteria
Description: partial 16S ribosomal RNA
Rfam family: Bacterial small subunit ribosomal RNA
Source: RNAcentral